AGCAGCCGCCACGGUAAUGCGAAGGGGGCUAGCGUUGCUCGGAAUCACUGGGCGUAAAGGGUGCGUAGGCGGGUCUUUAAGUCAGGGGUGAAAUCCUGGAGCUCAACUCCAGAACUGCCUUUGAUACUGAAGAUCUUGAGUUCGGGAGAGGUGAGUGGAACUGCGAGUGUAGAGGUGGAAUUCGUAGAUAUUCGCAAGAACACCAGUGGCGAAGGCGGCUCACUGGCCCGAUACUGACGCUGAGGCACGAAAGCGUGGGGAGCAAACAGGAUUAGAUACCCCCGUAGUCCCUGUCUCUUAUAC
Molecule: ribosomal RNA, 303 nt
Filed under: uncultured bacterium
Lineage: Bacteria
Description: partial 16S ribosomal RNA
Rfam family: Bacterial small subunit ribosomal RNA
Source: RNAcentral